RNAcentral lists this ribosomal RNA (272 nucleotides) under uncultured bacterium. Its description in RNAcentral is "partial 16S ribosomal RNA". It matches the Rfam family "Bacterial small subunit ribosomal RNA", at positions 84 to 354 of the family's 1533-position model. The record is from RNAcentral.
CCCGCCGGCGACCGGCGCACGGGUGAGUAACACGUAUGCAGCCUGGCCGCCACAGGGGGAUAACCCGCGGAAACGCGGCCUAAUACCCCGUGACGCCACCGGAGGGCAUCCUCCGGUGGCCAAAGGAGCGAUCCGGUGGUGGAUGGGCAUGCGGCGCAUUAGGCAGUAGGCGGGGUAACGGCCCACCUAACCGACGAUGCGUAGGGGUUCUGAGAGGAAGGUCCCCCACACUGGUACUGAGACACGGACCAGACUCCUACGGAAGGCAGCAG